AAAUAAAUAAAUAAAUAAAUAAAUAAAUAAAUAAAUAAAUAAGCUGGGUAUGAUGGCACAUGCCUGUAAUCCCAGCUACUCAGGAGUCUGAGGCACGAGAGUCGCUUGAACCUGGGAGGCGAUAGUUGCAGUGAGCCGAGAUCACACCACUGCACUCCAUCUUGGGCAACAGAGUGAGACCCUGUCUGAAAAAAAUAAAAAAUAAAUAAGAAAUAAAUAAAUAAUUAGGUGUGGUGGUGCACGCCUGUAGUCCCAGCUACUCGGGAGGCUGAGGCAGGGAGAUUGCUUGAGCCAGGGAAGUUGAGGCUGCAGUAAGCUGUGAUCGUGCCACUACACUCCAGGCUGGGCGAUAGAGGAAGACCCUGUCUCUAAAUAAAUAAAUAGGCUUAUGAAAAAGGUUAGGGAGCAUUUCAGGCAAUUACCUUAUUUUACAUUUUUGGUUGGGAAAAUAGAGGACUUUAAAGAUGAAUAUCAAAACUACCUCCAAACCUACCAUCCAGAGAUAACCACAUUUAACAAUUUGGUUUUACUUUCACAGUUAUUUACUACAGUAAUGUGUGUGAGUAUAUAUGUGUACUAAUUUUGUUGUUACAGAAUUGACACUUUUUUCUAUGCAUUCUGCUUUUUGACCUACUUGGAAAGAAUUUAACAAUAUAUCCUAAAAAUUGCCUGUGCUAUUGAGACUGUUUCUUUUGUUAUCUGGAUAAUACUAUUAUAUUUGCUCACUUUCCCCGUGAUAGUUUGGAAGGUAGUUCUCAUAUUUUAAAUAUCCACUACUGCUGCCUUUUGGGUUUUUGUUCGUGUUUGUGUAUAUACAUGUUAAUGUUUUUGUUUGUGUGCGUGCGUGUGUGUGUAUAUAUAUAUGCACAUGUAUAUGCAUGUUUUCCCUAAUCAAUGCCAGGAGAAAAUGGUAUUUAUUAACUUUAUUUCUGCAAGAUGGGAAAGUCGGCACAUUUACUACCUCUCUUUCUCCAGCUCCCACGUUUCCUAGUUUUUUGUUGAUACAAUCUAGAAUUAUUUAAAUCAAUUAUUAUCAUUAUUAAUGAAUGCUAAAGUCAUAUUUUCUUUUUGUAUUAGGUUAUUUCUUGCUUCUGGCUUUAUUAUUAUUUUAAAACUUUGCAAAAUUGACGAAUAAUUGUAGAUAUUCAUGCGGUACAUAGUGCCGUUGUGAUACAUAUAAUUUAUAGUGAUCAGAUCACAGUAGUUAGCAUAUCCGUCAUCUCAAACAUUUAUCAUUUCUUUGUGUCGGGAACAUUCAGUAUCUUCCUUCUAGCUAUUUGAAACUAUGUACUAUUAUUAACUAGAGCCAUCCUACAGUGGUAUAGAACACUAGAACUUAGUCCUCUUUCUUAGCUGUAAUUUUGUUCUGGUGAGCCCAGAUCAUGCCAGUGCACUCCAAUCUGGGUGACAGAGUAAGACUCUGUUUCAAAAAAAAAAAAA
Molecule: long non-coding RNA, 1440 nt
Filed under: Macaca fascicularis (crab-eating macaque)
Lineage: Eukaryota; Metazoa; Chordata; Mammalia; Primates; Cercopithecidae
Description: lncRNA (ENSMFAG00000056486.1)
Source: RNAcentral